RNAcentral lists this ribosomal RNA (1484 nucleotides) under uncultured bacterium. RNAcentral describes it as "16S ribosomal RNA". It matches the Rfam family "Bacterial small subunit ribosomal RNA". The record is from RNAcentral.
UGGCUCAGGAUGAACGCUAGCGACAGGCCUAACACAUGCAAGUCGAGGGGCAUCGGGGCGAGGAGCAAUCCUUGCCGCCGGCGACCGGCGCACGGGUGAGUAACGCGUAUGCGACCUGCCCGUUGCAGGGGGAUAAUCGGGAGAAAUCCCGUCUAAUACCGCGUAAUGCCGCGGGGCUGCAUGGCCCUGCGGCCAAAGGAAGCGAUUCCGGCAACGGAUGGGCAUGCGUGACAUUAGCUAGUUGGCGGGGCAACGGCCCACCAAGGCGACGAUGUCUAGGGGUUCUGAGAGGAAGGUCCCCCACACUGGUACUGAAACACGGACCAGACUCCUACGGGAGGCAGCAGUGAGGAAUAUUGGUCAAUGGGCGCGAGCCUGAACCAGCCAAGUCGCGUGAGGGAUGACGGCCCUACGGGUUGUAAACCUCUUUUGUCGGGGAGCAAAUUCCGCCACGUGUGGCGGAGUCGAGAGUACCCGAAGAAAAAGCAUCGGCUAACUCCGUGCCAGCAGCCGCGGUAAUACGGAGGAUGCGAGCGUUAUCCGGAUUUAUUGGGUUUAAAGGGUGCGUAGGCGGACUGUCAAGUCAGCGGUAAAAUACGGGGGCUCAACCUCCGCCCGCCGUUGAAACUGACGGUCUUGAGUGGGCGAGAAGUAUGCGGAAUGCGUGGUGUAGCGGUGAAAUGCAUAGAUAUCACGCAGAACUCCGAUUGCGAAGGCAGCAUACCGGCGCCCAACUGACGCUGAAGCACGAAAGCGUGGGUAUCGAACAGGAUUAGAUACCCUGGUAGUCCACGCAGUAAACGAUGAAUACUAGCUGUCCGGGGCGAAUGAGCCCUGGGUGGCACAGCGAAAGCGUUAAGUAUUCCACCUGGGGAGUACGCCGGCAACGGUGAAACUCAAAGGAAUUGACGGGGGCCCGCACAAGCGGAGGAACAUGUGGUUUAAUUCGAUGAUACGCGAGGAACCUUACCCGGGCUCAAACGACACAGGAACGUACCUGAAAGGGUUCGGCUCUACGGAGCCUGUGUCGAGGUGCUGCAUGGUUGUCGUCAGCUCGUGCCGUGAGGUGUCGGCUUAAGUGCCAUAACGAGCGCAACCCCCAUCGACAGUUGCUAACAGGUCAGGCUGAGGACUCUGUCGAGACUGCCGGCGCAAGCUGCGAGGAAGGCGGGGAUGACGUCAAAUCAGCACGGCCCUUACGUCCGGGGCGACACACGUGUUACAAUGGCAGGUACAGCGGGAAGCCACCUGGCGACAGGGAGCGGAACCCGAAAGCCUGUCUCAGUUCGGAUUGGAGUCUGCAACCCGACUCCAUGAAGCUGGAUUCGCUAGUAAUCGCGCAUCAGCCACGGCGCGGUGAAUACGUUCCCGGGCCUUGUACACACCGCCCGUCAAGCCAUGGAAGCCGGGGGUGCCUGAAGUGCGCUGCCGCGAGGAGCGCCCUAGGGUAAAACUCGGUGACUGGGGCUAAGUCGUAACAAGGU